CCUACGGGAGGCAGCAGUGGGGAAUAUUGCACAAUGGGGGAAACCCUGAUGCAGCGACGCCGCGUGAGCGAAGAAGUAUUUCGGUAUGUAAAGCUCUAUCAGCAGGGAAGAAAAUGACGGUACCUGAGUAAGAAGCUCCGGCUAAAUACGUGCCAGCAGCCGCGGUAAUACGUAUGGAGCAAGCGUUAUCCGGAUUUACUGGGCGUAAAGGGAGCGUAGGCGGCCUGCCAAGUCUGAUGUGAAAUACCGGGGCUCAACCCCGGGGCUGCAUUGGAAACUGGCAGGCUGGAGUGCCGGAGAGGCAGGCGGAAUUCCUAGUGUAGCGGUGAAAUGCGUAGAUAUCACGCAGAACUCCGAUUGCGAAGGCAGCAUACCGGCGCCCAACUGACGCUGAAGCACGAAAGCGUGGGUAUCGAACAGGAUUAGAUACCCCUGUAGUC
Molecule: ribosomal RNA, 440 nt
Filed under: uncultured bacterium
Lineage: Bacteria
Description: partial 16S ribosomal RNA
Rfam family: Bacterial small subunit ribosomal RNA
Source: RNAcentral